Molecule: long non-coding RNA, 454 nt
Organism: Carassius auratus (goldfish)
Lineage: Eukaryota; Metazoa; Chordata; Actinopteri; Cypriniformes; Cyprinidae
Exons: 2
Source: RefSeq, a predicted model, not a curated record
AAACAAAUACAAUAAUAAUAUACAAGAGAAAAACAUACAGGAAAAGAAACCAAUACUAUAAUGAUCCAUUUACAUACCUGUAUCAAAGUAUAACAGACAUCAGCAGGUAGUAACAGAAGAAUAUCAGGUCUAGCAGUGCCUGUCAAUCAUUGCAUAGUGUUACACUGUACACUUAUAUAACAGCAAAUACAUUCAAACCUCUCAUGGAUCAUUAAAGUUAAAGAGACAAACUUCACGCAAUCACUAAUGUAUAAUUCAUAACUGAAUAACUCUGUUUUACCGAAGUAUGCAUCGUUAUGUAAUUAAUUCAGCAGCAUACUGCACGUGUAAUGGCGACCAUUACAUGAAUUCACACUUCGAUUAAACAUACUUUUUACAAUGUUACUAACUUGGACUAGUAAUCCCAUAAUAAGGAAAAGUUAACAAACAAACUGAUUUCGUGCAAAAAAAAAAA